RNAcentral lists this signal recognition particle RNA (299 nucleotides) under Aotus nancymaae (Ma's night monkey). RNAcentral's name for it is "Metazoan signal recognition particle RNA (ENSANAG00000011858.1)". It matches the Rfam family "Metazoan signal recognition particle RNA". Rfam says of the family: The signal recognition particle (SRP) is a universally conserved ribonucleoprotein. It is involved in the co-translational targeting of proteins to membranes. The eukaryotic SRP consists of a 300-nucleotide 7S RNA and six proteins: SRPs 72, 68, 54, 19, 14, and 9. Lineage: Eukaryota; Metazoa; Chordata; Mammalia; Primates; Aotidae. The record is from RNAcentral.
GCCGGGCGCGGUGGCGCGUGCCUGUAGUCCCAGCUACUCAGGAGGCUGAGGUGGGAGGAUCACUUGAGCCCAGGAUUUCUGGGCUGUAGUGCGCUAUGUCGAUUGGGUAUCUGCACUAAGUUCGCCAUCAAUAUGGUGACCUCCCGGGAGCGGGGGACCACCAGGUUGCCUAAGGAGGGGUGAAUCGGCCCAGGUCAGAAAUGGAGCAGGUCAAAACUCCCGUGCUGAUCAGUAGUGGGAUGGCGCCUGUGAAUAGCCACUGCACUCCAGCCUGGGCAACAUAGUGAGGCCCCAUCUCU